GCAGAUAUGGCCGAGCGGUCCAAGGCGCCACGUUCAGGUCGUGGUCUCGAAAGAGGCGAGAGUUCGAAUCUCUCUGUCUGCA
Molecule: non-coding RNA, 82 nt
Organism: Circinella umbellata
Lineage: Eukaryota; Fungi; Mucoromycota; Mucoromycetes; Mucorales; Lichtheimiaceae
Source: the annotation of a GenBank genome assembly